UACGGGGGAUGCAAGCGUUAUCCGGAUUUAUUGGGUUUAAAGGGUGCGUAGGCUGUGGGGUAAGUCAGCGGUGAAAUGCCCCCGCUCAACGGGGUGAAGUGCCAUUGAUACUGCCUUGCCGGAAUGCGGAUGCCGUGGGAGGAAUGUGUGGCGUAGCGGUGAAAUGCAUAGAUAUCACACAGAACACCGAUUGCGAAGGCAUCUCACGAAUCCGCGAUUGACGCUGAUGCACGAAAGCGUGGGUAUCAAACAGG
This 254-nucleotide ribosomal RNA is filed under the name uncultured bacterium. RNAcentral's name for it is "partial 16S ribosomal RNA". It matches the Rfam family "Bacterial small subunit ribosomal RNA", at positions 524 to 776 of the family's 1533-position model. The record is from RNAcentral.